UUCUCUUUCUUAGUUUCAGCCGUUCUCACUUCUCUCUAUUGCUCCACUGCCAUCUUCUUCCUCCCUUCAAGAAUUCCACUGUCGAAUUCGGCGCACCCCCACCAUCAGGUUUCUCAGGCGAGCUUCACGCGAUACAACCCUGUUUUUUUUUUUAGUCAAAAGACGAAUUUUUCUAGCUCUAAGAUUUGACUUACACUGUUUCAACAAUGAAGAAAAGAAAUGAUACCUCCCAAUUAUCCAACCAAGAUGCCUCCAAUGUGCAAAAAAGAUCAAGACUUGAAAAGGGGAAACACAUUCUUCCACCCUCUGAAUCUCAUUUGAAUGGGCAUUUGUCAUUCACAAAGAAGAAAGACAAAGCCAGGUAUCAAGACAUUUAUAGAAGAUCAAUCAUUCCAUCCUUGGCUCAUGGGUGCUACGUGGUGGAGGUAAAGGAAAGGGAACGCUAGACUAACCAUGAGUUGGAGAGAUUUGGGGGCAGAGUGUACAUCGACAGCUGCUCGACCGCCACAACUGAGGGAAUUACAGGAACUAAAGCUUAAAACUGUAUUUUUCCAGUUAGACUGCCUUUUGUUGUAUCAACGUUUGAGGGUUGUUUCAGCCAUGUAAACCUUAUUUUUUUGGGAUCUCAUGUAUCAAACUUUUAUCUUAAUGAAAAUCAAUCAUUUUAUGAUCAAAAUCAUUUGAUCCUAACUUG
Long non-coding RNA from Humulus lupulus (European hop), 694 nucleotides. RefSeq lists it as uncharacterized. The record is from RefSeq and is a predicted model, not a curated record. NCBI's taxonomy places the organism in Eukaryota, Viridiplantae, Streptophyta, Magnoliopsida, Rosales, Cannabaceae. The transcript is spliced from 2 exons.